GUGUCAGCAGCCGCGGUAAUACGUAGGGAGCGAGCGUUGUCCGGAUUUAUUGGGCGUAAAGAGCUCGUAGGCGGUUUGGUAAGUCGGGUGUGAAAGCUCCGGGCUCAACUCGGAGAGGUCACUCGAUACUGCCAUGACUGGAGUCCGGUAGGGGGGUGUGGAAUUCCCAGUGUAGCGGUGAAAUGCGCAGAUAUUGGGAGGAACACCAAUGGCGAAGGCAGCACCCUGGGCCGGUACUGACGCUGAGGAGCGAAAGCGUGGGGAGCAAACAGGAUUAGAAACCCUCGUAGUCC
Molecule: ribosomal RNA, 293 nt
Filed under: uncultured bacterium
Lineage: Bacteria
Description: partial 16S ribosomal RNA
Rfam family: Bacterial small subunit ribosomal RNA
Source: RNAcentral